RNAcentral lists this ribosomal RNA (253 nucleotides) under uncultured bacterium. RNAcentral describes it as "partial 16S ribosomal RNA". It matches the Rfam family "Bacterial small subunit ribosomal RNA", at positions 524 to 776 of the family's 1533-position model. The record is from RNAcentral.
UACGAAGGGUGCAAACGUUGCUCGGAAUUACUGGGCGUAAAGCGCACGUAGGCGGAUCGAUCAGUCAGGGGUGAAAUCCCAGAGCUCAACUCUGGAACUGCCUUUGAUACUGUCGAUCUGGAGUAUGGAAGAGGUGAGUGGAAUUCCGAGUGUAGAGGUGAAAUUCGUAGAUAUUCGGAAGAACACCAGUGGCGAAGGCGACUCGCUGGACAGACAUUGACGCUGAGGUGCGAAAGCGUGGGGAGCAAACAGG